RNAcentral lists this long non-coding RNA (233 nucleotides) under Gallus gallus (chicken). The record is from RNAcentral. Lineage: Eukaryota; Metazoa; Chordata; Aves; Galliformes; Phasianidae.
GGAAAAAGACAGUUGAUCCUAGACAUUAUUCAAUUCCAGGGCAUUUCAAAACACAACCAAAACAGUUGUGGAUAAAAGAAAUGAAAGCUGAGCUGUGAGCUAAGGACCACACUCUUAAACAGGCGAAAGAGAGGAUGAGGGAUAACCACAUGGGUCACAGCUCAACACAGGAUCCUUGCGUUCUCAGAGAGUGACUAGUGACUCUCAGGGAGACAGGGAACUCAGGAUGUGGC